Long non-coding RNA from Acinonyx jubatus (cheetah), 12628 nucleotides. RefSeq lists it as uncharacterized. The transcript is spliced from 6 exons. NCBI's taxonomy places the organism in Eukaryota, Metazoa, Chordata, Mammalia, Carnivora, Felidae. The record is from RefSeq and is a predicted model, not a curated record.
AUUUAUUCAUUUAUUCAUUCAACAAGCAUUUUCUAUGUGGCAGAUACUGACACAUGACUUGUAAAGAUAAAUAUAACAUAUGGUCUGUAUCCCCAACAAGCUCUCCUCAUAAAGAGGGCAACAAAUCAAUAAAAGCGUAACGGGUACAUUGAACAAGUAGGUCUCCAAACUGGGGUUAGAGUAAGGAUUCUAUUUCUCUCAGCCAGUGAUCUGACGCUGUUCUGUGGCCCGUGUCUUCCCUACAUGGAAAGUAGAUGAAAUCUUGGGCAGAUUCCAUAAACUCUCUUGAACACACUUAGUGCAAAGUCGCUCUGUCUCUGUUAGUCACAAGAGCAGUCUGAUUUUAAUUCACUGAUCUGAACCUCAUUCAGAAUUAAAGCCUCUCAGCUCCCCAGCGGGAGAACAAGCGGUGGGGAAGAAGGGGCAUGGUGAGCUGCUCCCCUCUCUGCCUUGUGCUGCUCCUCCUCUUCUGUGCCCUCCCAAAUACUGUCUCCAGCUCCCCCAGGGAUGGAGGGAGACCCAGAGGGUAAACAAGAGGAGGUUUCUUAGCUCUCCAGUACUCUGAUGAUCUGGCAGCAGUGUUCUCUGGCCUUGGAGGGUUUUAGAGGUGUCCACUUGGACUUCACUGCCUUCGAGAAGACUCUGCUGGUUCUUCUUAGACCAGGUUAUGUGCCCUUUCAUGUACUCCUUACCUUGGUACUUAUCAGAAUCAUAACUGAAGACCAAAACCACCAAGUACUCCUGCUGCUGCCCUGCCGCCUUUACUGAGAGGCACCACUGACAGGUAACUGGCGUUACCACCCGCCAUCAUCCCACACACACUACCUCACCACCCCAGCCAACAUAAGGGACUUGCAGACCUGCCUCUGUGUAAUCAGAGCAGAUGAAAGAGAUUCGGGGACACAGAUGCUGUGCUUGCACUGCUGAGGGAGGGGUGGUCAAUUUCAAAGCCCUCUUUCCUAGAAAGAUGGACUCUGCCCUUGACACCCCAAGAGUUGACUGGCCACACACGGUGGUUGAAAUUGGGAGCUACGUGUUGCCAUAAUUGGCACUGCAUGGUGCGUGAAGAGCACUUGUAUCAAGGUGUUACAGCAGGAUACCACGACUGGGGUGAGGGGAUCAGCUGCAGACGAUGGCUAAAUCUUGCAAGGGGUCACCAGUGCUUAGGGAAACUGCACUGGAACAAGUCCCUCCCUGGCAGGGCAUGUUGAAGCCCCCUGGCGCCCUCACCUAUGAAAUAUGGAAAUGGUGAUGCUUGCCCCCCGGGAUUGUCACAAAGACUACAUGAGAUAAUGUGAGAAACCUUCUGCAAAGUGGACCCACAAUUAAUGUUAGCUCCCUUGCUACGCUUUUGCUGCUCAGUGUUUAACGCCUGGAUAAAUACUUCGAGUGUGGAAAGAGACGGGGAGCUUUUCAUAAUGUCAGAUUCAACCUAAAAGGAAAAGUCUGUGUUUGCAGAGUUCUAUCUCCCUGGAUUACCAGGCAGAUUCUGAAAUUUAUUAACCUUUUUAGUCAUUUGUGAACACCAGCAAAAGGACUUCUUUGAAUAAUCAAAAAACCUCCUCAUUCUGGCAGCCAAAUAAAAGGAGGCCAGGUGUUCAGGAUUAAAAAUGCAUUACCCCCACCACUGACUUUCUGGGGAUGGUGUCAAGAAUUUUCUCUUUCAUAACAUGUACCAUUUCUAGAGUAGAGAAAGAGGAGGGAAAAGUGAACAGAGAUGAUAAGGAGACUUUAGGAAACAUGGGGGUGGACAGAAAAAUGAAGGGUGAAAGUGACAGACGGAAGACAGGAGAACCCUAUUUUUAGCCAGUUAUGGUCUUCUGUCCCCUUAAAAAUAGACCCUCUUCCUGCCCACAGUGAAUGGAGUGGACAAUAUCUGGGAUUGCAUAACACCAUUUGUGUAUCUGUUUGAAGGCAUUGACAUUGUGACUCUUAGACAAGGUUGGGUAGGCCUUUUAACACUAGAUACACAGCCACCAAAUUUCCUCUAGAACUGUUUCUAAGAAAAAUGCCCACAUUCACACUCUCAUUUUCUAAAAUUAUCCUUAGCAUGAGGCUAAGACUAUUUUCUUGAAGUAAAACUAAGACAAUUUCUCGUUGCUAAUAAAACUAACCACACGCACACGUGUCGAGGCACCAUGCUAGGUCUUGACAUUCAUGGUACCCUUUUGGCAGAUGGGGACAUUUAGGCUCAGGAAGCGAGCAGGCUGGAUCCGGGCCACAGAGCUCAUAUGUAGUGGAACUAGUAUUCAAACCCAGGUCUCAUCCAAACCCUGACAUUGUCACCUCUGCCCUGUUAUCGGCUUUAGAAACCUUUAGCGGCUGCCACUCCAGCACCCGGGUGAGCUCUGACACUGAGAAAUGCAGCCCAUGGGAAAGGCAAGAACCAAGCACAGCACUGGUCGCUACCAGAAGGAGGAUUGUAUUACAAGCCCUUCAGACUUUGUACACAACACGCUCGUGGUGCACCAUGAGGCCGUUUUGAGGCUCAAGGAUUACUUUGGAAAGGCUUCUGUAAUUUCAGAGUUUAAUGAUAUGAAAUUAGACCUAGAAUCCUCAAACAAACCCAUUUCAGAACUACAAUACCCCCUGGAAAUGAGCACUUCCAUUAGAUUUGAGACCAUUACGUAUCCAUCUCUGUGUGAGGGAAAUAGAUGUUUUCACGCUAGAACAAAUACAAAACAUCAUUUUCAUCCAGUACAAUUUCCUGAACUCCUUUUAUCCAAUUUCCCAGUUUUUUCUGAUAUUUGAAACUGAAGUAAAGCUUUCCUCUUAGCCCAGUUUCUUGUUCACUUUAACUCCGCAACAAAAUUAUUCUUAGGUUUUAUCACUGGCCUAUUUCUUAGAUAGGACUUGGGUUUCAUUAUUUCAACAUGGGGUCAAAAAUAGAAAAAGAUGUUCCAGAAACAGACUUUUGUUAUUUUCUUUAUAAUCAUUGAAUCUAUAUGCCAUUUUGCCCAACCCUUGUACAUUAUGUGGGAGAUCCUUGAACAAUUACAAAUCUACUACAAACAAUAGUUUCUGGUACUCAGGUAAUGAGAAAUGUCUUAAAGAUGAUAAACACAGGUAUUCACAAUAGAUUGAGAGAUUAAACAACCUAAACAAAGGAAAAAUAUUUCCCAAUCUUAUGUGAACAAAGAUUGCAUACAUCACAAUUAGGAAAAGUUUCAUAUUUUUUAAGCACGAUAAAAUGUUGUUUAGUCUUUGAGCAGUAUUAAAAAAUCCUCAGUUAAACAACUACAUAUAUACAUUUACUAUUUAUAAGAUAUUCUCUAAGACACCAUUAUGGUAUUAGGACGAAUAAUAAAUACACGGGUCACUAACUUCAAGAAUCUUUUACUGUUAUAGGGGAGGUAAGAAAUGUAUUUAUAAGCUAUAAUAUAAAGAUGAAUAUGAUGAGUGCCAUAAAGUACAAAGAAUUAUGGGGGUUCAGAAGAAGGAGGGAUUAUCUCUAUGUGAGCUCAGAAGAUGGUAGGCCGCCCAUUCCAGGAUAAUGAAAUGCAUGAGAAAAGAUAAUACCGUUUGAGGAAACAGUCCCCUUUGAAAUUCAAAAUGUCAGUGGGAAAUACAGCAGGGGUAUUAGCCUGAGAUUGGACCACAGAAAGCAAAUGCCAGAUCCAAGGGUUUGGAGGUUAGUCAGUUGGAGAAAUAAUACACUCACUAGGUACAACUAGUAUUUCAAACAUUACCUAUUUUUACCUAUUUAAAAUAUCUCUUUUUUUUAACAGCUUUAUUGAAGUAUAAUUGACAUAUAAUUAACUGUGCAUGUUUAAAGCAUAUAAUUUGGUAAAUUUUGACAUAUGUAUACACCCAUGAAACCAUCACCACAAUCAACAUAAUGAACAUAUCAAUCACUCCCAAAAGUUUCCUUGUGCCCCUUUGUAAUCUCUUCCUCCUGCCCCAUCGCUAGGCAAUUGUUGAUCUGCUUUCUGCCACUGUAGGUUAAUUGGCACUUUCAAGAACUUUGUAUAAAUGGAAUUAUACACUAUUGACUCUUUAGUCUGACUUCUUUCACUCAACACAAUUUUUUGAGAUUCAUCCAUAUUGUUGGGUGUAUCAAUAGUUUGUUCCUUUUUGCUAGUAAGUGGUAUUCCAUUAUAUGGAUAUGCCAUAUUUGUUUUUCCAUUCACCAUGUUGAUGGGCAUUUGCAUUGUUUUUAGUUUGGGGCUAUUACAAAUAAAGCUACUUUCAAUAUUCAUAUACAAGUCUUUGUAGGAACAUAUGCCUUCAUUUCUCCUAGAUUAAUGCCUAGCCAUGAAGUGGCUGAGUCACCUAGUAUGUUUAUGUUGCUUUUUAAUUAACUGCCAUACUAUUUGCCAAAAUGGUAUAUCACUUUGCAUUCCUGCCAGCAGUAUAUGAGAAUUUCAGUUGUUCCACGUCCUUGAGAAAGGUCGGCAUGGUCACCGCUUUUUAAUUUUGGACAGUCGAAUAGGUGUGUAGUGAUAUCUUAUUAUGGUUUUAAUUUGCAUUUCCCCAAUGAGUAAAAACCUUUCAUGUUUUUUUAUUUGCCACUUUUAUAGCUUCUUUGAUGAAGUAUCUGCUCAAAACUUUUGUCCAUUUUAAAAUUAUUAUUAUCACUGAGAUUUCAGAGUUCUUUACGCAUUCUGUGUAUAAGCCCUUUAUCAGAUACAUGAUGUACAAAUAUUUUCCCCAGUCUUUAGCUUUAAAGAGUAGAAGUUCUUAAUUUUGCUGAAGUCCCAUGUAUCUUUUUUUUUUAAUGCAUUGUGCUUUUGCCUUUAAGGAAUCUUUGCCAAGUCACAAAGAUUUUCUGUGUUCUCUUCUUGUUUUAUAGUUUUAUAUUUAACUCUAUGAUCCAUGUUGAGUUCAUUUUUUUGUAUUGGUGCAAGAUAUGAAUUGAAGAGGUUUGGGGGGGAAAUGUGGUUUUUUGGCAGAUAAAUAUCUAAUUGUUGUAGCAUCAUUUGUUGAAAAAACUAUCCUUUUCAUCUAAAUACGCUUGUCAAAAAUCAAUUGACCAUAUAUGUGUAGGUCUAUUUCUGGAUUCUAUUCUGUUCCAUUGAUCUAUUUGUCUACCUUGAUGCCAAUACCACAUUGUCUUAGUUACUAAAGUGUUAUAAAAAGCUUUGAAGUAAGGUAGCUUAAGUCCUCCAAAUUGGUUCUCUUAUUUCGAAUUAUUUAAGCUAUUCUAGAUCUUUUGCAUUUCCAUAUAAAUUUUAGAAUCAGCUUAUUAAUUUCUACCAAAAAAAAAAACACUGGGAUUUUUGAUUGGGAUUGCUUUGAAUCUAUAUAAUAAUUUAGAGAACUGCUCUCCUAACCAUAUUGAGUCUUCCAAUCUGUAAACACAAUAUAUCUCUGUAUUUUGAUCUUCUUUAAUUUCUCUCACCAAUGUUUUAUCAUUUUCCAUGUACCAAUCUUUCACACUCUUUCUCAAAUUAAUCUCCAAAUAUUUUAUAUUUUUAUGUUACUUUUAUAUUUCAAUGUCUGGUUAUUCAUAGCUAGUACUAUAUAUUGAAAUCCAAUGAAGUUUUGUAUAUAAUUUUGUAUCCUACAGUCUUGCUAAAGUCAAUAAUUCUGGGAGCUCUUUUGCAGGUUACAUAGGAUGUCCUGUGUAAAUGAUCAUGUUGUCUCUGAAUAAAGAGAGUUUUACUUCUUUCUUCCCAAUCCAGAUAGCUUCAUAUCUUUUCUUGCCUGAUUUCAAGACAACUGUGACUCCAAAAUCCCAGAAUCCCCCCCAAAAAACAUGAGGUACUGAUUUAUAGCUGCUAGCACUGCGGUGGUAGAAUUCCUCAAAUAUGAGUGGAGAUGGCUUUCCAUCAGUAUUAGGACAGCUUAGAAACUCCACACACCGCCCCCCAAGCCACUUCAAUACUAGACCUUAAAUUUGCCCUUCUAUGACUUUGGCUUCGUGUGUGUGUGUGUGUGUGUGUGUGUGUGUGUACACGCUUAUGUAUGCAUGCAGCAAUUUUUAAAGCCUCCCCACUAAGCUCAGACAGGCCCUUCUAGAACCAGGCCUCCCCAAACUUAUUCUAAGAUUUUGCAUAUGGCUUUGGUCAUCACUCUGGAUUAUCCUUCCUAUUAUGAUAAGUUACUUUUCAAAGUAAUUUGAUGUUUUUGCCAAAUGACCUAAGUUGGGUCCAUUUUAAUUCAUCUGAUACUUUUCUAAUAAUAUUAAACUUCAAAAAGGAGAGUAUCAUAGCUUUAUCCACUACUUCCCAGAAGGCUUCUUGAACCUUAUGCAAAUAUACCCAUCUUUUUUUUUUUUUUUUUUUUGGAACCUCCCAGAAGGGCAGUAUUUGUCAACAUAAAACAAAGGUUCUGUUACACACUUUCCUGUAAACAACAGUACCUAGGGGCGCCUGGGUGGCUCAUCCAACUUUAGCUCAGGUCAUGAUCUCACGGUUCGAACCUUACAUUGGGCUCUGUCCUGACAGUUCAGAGCCUGGAGGUCUGCCCCUCCUCUGCUCACACUCUGUCUCCCUCUCUCAGGAAAUGAAUAAACAUAUAAAAUAAUAAUAAAUAAAAGAAAAUAAACAAUGGUAUCUUAUUUGCCUUACAUCUAUCUAAAAGAAACCAUUCUAGAGAUUGUUCUCAGGUAAAAGGAUAUAAAUUUCCCAAGGAAAUUUAUAAAUUCUAACACUAGAAAUAGAAGCUACUGACAACUUUUAAAUAACAACUUAUUCUAAUUUUAAAAAACUAUUAAAGCUUGGUCUCAUUGGGCACCCUUCUAAAGAAGUUUUUUCAAAGGUAGGAAGAAUAUUUUAGGAAGAUGAAUAUAGCAAUGAUUUGAAGAGUAAAUGAGAGGUGGAAAGAGAGGCAGUUCAGGAAGAUCAGUUAUCAGACUAUUAUAAUAAUCCAAGUCAUAUAUAAUAAAGAUGUCACUCAGAGAUAAUAGUAAUGAUGGAAAGAAAACAGUGAAUGUAUGAGAUUUUUUUUAAUAGAGAGAUUAAAUAAGAUUUAGGAAAUGAACUAUGGAGAAUAAGGAGAAAAGUCAAAAAUGGCUAACGGGAGAAAAUGGUAGCCCACCUUUAGAAGAAAAUGGUCAGUACAUAAGAAAAUGUGAUAAGGGGCAAGUCUGAGUAGAAAGGUGAACAGUUAGAUGGUGGACGUGUUGAGUCUGGCUCCAAUGUUGAGAGGCAGUAGGAAUUAUUGGAAGAGAGUUGGGUACAGAUCAGGAAACCUGAGUUCGGGUUGUGGCACUUGCCACUGACUUCCUGGGAGAUGGUGACAGACACUGUGGGAGCUGGCCCAACAUUCAUUUUCCACUGUACCUUCUUCCUUUCUAAUCUCAAAGAAACCAGAGUUAGUUUCUGUAUUAACCCAACAUCGUAGUCCAUGUGCUUUGGAGGGGGCUGGACUCAGUCUCAGAGGGCAAAUUCUAAUUGGUCUAAGUCAAUGACAUCUUCCAUUCCCAGGGCAUGUCACAAGUCUGGCCAAUGAAGUAUGAAGGACAAUCGGCUGUGUGCUUCAGGUUAGUGAACACUCACUCUUAAGAAGAGCUAUACUGGAUAAGAUGGUCUGUCCUUUCAAUGGCCAUUGUCAGGUACGAAUGGAACACUAGGAACCACCACACGCAUCUCACCACAAGGAACUGGCCUAUGAACAGACCAACGUGCUGAGGAUGGCAGAGCCAGUAGAGAGAGAAAUUGGGCCUGUAAUGCUAUCAUUGAAAUUCUACACUAACCAACCCUCACAUGCCAUACUCUUGUAUUUCUUGUUAUGGUAGAUCACACAUUUAAACCAAUUACAUUGGGAUUUCUGUUAUUUGAAGCUAAAGCCAUCCUUACUGACCCUGCAGCCCAAACCAUUUCCUCUGCACACUAUUUCUUCCACUGUAAGUUGAGAAUAGUCUCUCUAAGAACUCUCCCAGCUCUAACCACCCAGGAUGUUAUUAUUAUAGGUAAAAAUAGAGGUUGAAAAGGAAGAAUGAAUAUCUAGAGAAAGAUCAAAACACAAAUAUAGAUAUAGAAGUCAUCUAUGUAGUAUAAGACUUAGAAUCCUGGGGGUAAAUGAGAUUGUCAGGUGAAACUUACUGAUUGCUGUACAUGUUAACAAUAACACCUCGUGUUAUCCUCACAACAUUCUGCAAAGUUGGCAUCAUUGCUGUUUCCUAUGAAUAAACCAAGACACAAAUGUCCAGAAAAGUAUGAACAGUGUCCCAGACUCUAAGAGAUGGUCAAAAUUUCAACAGUAUCACAUGUUUCAAACAGGUCAAGAAGAAUGAAGACAAAGAAAAGGUCAAAAGCCUUGAUGAUUAGGAAGUUCUUAAUGUUUUCAAGGUAACUGUUUCCAGAAAGUCAUAGGGGUGAAAGAAGAGAGUGAAAAGUGACAGAUGUUAAGGAAGUAAAGACCAUUUUUAUCAUAAGUUUAGCAGUCAAAGAAAAGGGCAAGGUACUUCAAGGGAGGAACAAGUUUGAGAGAAAAAUUAUUUUGUUUCUUGUUUAAGAAGGCCUGACCACACCGGGGGGUAGAGGAAAAGGAACCAAUGGAGAAGAAGGGCUGAAGGGGCAGGAGAAGGAGGCCCUCACUGAUGGAACAGGUUCUGGAGGACAUGGGAGAAGAUGUGCUGUUUGGUUUCCCUCUGUUGUCUGCUCCUUGAGUUCCGGGUGAAUUGAGGGCUUUGAGGACCGAUCGAUGGCCAGACUGAGCUGAUGUAAUCACUGCUACAAGGUAUUAAUAAUGAAUGAAUGUUAUUUCUUUUAUGUGUUAUUUUAAUAGCCCUUUAUAAAAGGAUCACUGGAAAAAGACCAACAUAUCUUUCCAGAGUUUAUUUUUAAAAUGCAUAAUUCAUACAGAAAAGUAUUACUGUAUAGUGAAAGCCAACAUUUACCUCCUUCUCCUAACAGAAUGCAACCUAUGGAGAAGAAACAGAUGAAAAAUAUUAUUAAAAAUAAAGUAGUUUAUACCGUGUCCCAAAUUUCACUGGGAAAUUACCUAGACCUACAUUACAGAGAGAAAAUUCAAAUAGAAUAAUAGAAGAUACUAUUUAGUAAGACUUAGGAUGAUAUGCCAGGCCCUGUGCUAAGCACUUCUUACACAUUAUCCUAUUUAAUCCUUAUAACACCCUGUGAGAUGGUUGUUAUUAACUUUAUUUUAUGCUGAAGAAACUGAAGCUUAGAGAUGUUAUACCCCCAAGAUCCACCUACUGUACUAUUCUGUACGAGUUUUCAUAAAUGAAAUAAUUAUUCAUAUAUACAGAGUUCUAACUAUGUUCUAAAGUAUGUUCUAAAAAGUGCUGGGUACUUCCUACUCUUGUGGCAACUAUGGGAGGUGUCUGUUUUUAUUAUCUUUAGUAUAGAUGCAAACCUAAAGACCAGAAAAUGAGAUGAUAGAGCCCAUCCUCGAACCAAUAUGGUCUGAUACCUACAAAGAUUUUUUUUAAUUUUUUUUUGACCUUUACUUAUUAUUGAGAGACAGAGGAGACAGAGCAUGAGCAUGGGAAGGGCAGAGAGAGGGGGAGACACAGAAUCUGAAGCAGGCUCCAGGCUCCAAGCUGUCAGCACAGAGCCUCAUGUGGGGCUCGAACCCACAAACCACCAGAUCAUGACCUGACCCGAAGGUGGACACCCAACCAACUGAGCCACCCAGGCGCCCUUGGUACCUACAAAGAUUUUUGAAAAUAAAGUCGAGGUAAUUUGAAAAUGGCUUUAUAGGAUCACAUAAUGUAUCCAACAAGUAUAAGCCAAAUCUUCAGUUCCCUGGAAGGAAUAAAGUAUAGGAUAAAUUUCUAAGGAUGAAAAUGUUGCCUCUAACACAUAAGCUUAGUAGUGUAGUUAAAAAUGUUUGAGUCAAAAUCGAAUGUCAGUUAUGAGACACUAAACUGUGUUGUAUUUAGUACUUUCUCCCUAAUAAAAUUGUCAGUAGUUGAUGUUCCAAAGGAGAGAAUGUAUUUUGUUCUAUAGUGCAAUUCACUAUUAGCUUCCAAAUGCACAUUGGCUUAGGCCUGCGAAGGGCCCUGGCUCAUCAGUUUUCUCUGAAUUCAAGAGUAAUAACUAGAAUAACCAGAGAUACUACGAAGCAUCUUUUAACACCAAUGUCAUUACUCCAUUUAGUAGAAAGGACCGUUGAUGAUUUUCUUAUCCUAUCCGUGUCUCGUAUCCUGAACUGCAAAAUGGGGAAUGAAGGAUGAGGCGAUGUGGUAUAUAAAUGUAGGCUGUUAGACACACUUGGAUGUUUAUAACACCAUUUGUGGCAUUCUCAGUGAAGUCUUGCCUAGCUGGAUAAAUAAAAAUUAUCAUUCUUUUUUUUCAAGGCAUGUUUUCAGUGUUAUCCUGGGGCACCCUUGCAGAAAAAAAAAAUCCUCUUUGAAAGCCUAAUUCCACCUCUUUUGUCAAUAGGACCAGCUACCUCACUUGCAGGGCCCAGUGAAAAAUGAAAAUGCGGGGAGCCUUGUUCAGAAAUAUAGAAAUCCAAAAUGGCAGCAGUGUUAGGCUAAGUUGGAGCCUUUCUCAGCACAGGACUCUAUGCAACUUCAUGGGCCACAUGCCCAUGAAGCCUGGCUUGCUUGGCAUCACUUUCUUUGAUGAAAAGAAAACACUGUAAAAGGAAACAUGUAGGUUAUAAUGAAGAUAAAGAAGAAAUGAAAAGCCUCGGGUACAAUGGCAAUGAUUGUUAAUAAAAAACCAUUAACAAAGGUUUCCAGAAAUUAAUCAGCACAGAUGGACAUGGCAACCACUUGUGAAGGAAGUCUUUGUAGAAAUGCUCUGCAGCAAGGGUUCUGGGAAAUGCUGAGUGUCACACACUGAAGCGCUUAGCCAGUCCAGUCUGGACAACAAGCUGAAAACCAGGUCCUUCCCAGAAGAGCUCGGAAACACAGGGAGCAAACCAAGUCAGAGGCUGCAAGUCCCUGGUCCUGUUCUGUGGUGGUGAAGGAUCUAAACACAGGUGUUAGUUGAAAGAAGCAUUCUGUGGUCCAGUAACUUUCCGAGCCUCUGGGUAAAGCAGAACUUCUGAGAGCCUCUAAUACACAAAUGUGCUCCGCGAAUCUUCUCGAGCAAGCUGCAGCGCACGAUGUUGCACAAUGUUAUUCAACCAUGGAAACCUUUCCUCAAGGAGCAUCUCAGGGGAUUAUUGUUCCACAGAACACUCUGGAAAAUGCUGCACCACACCCUGCUUUUACUGGAAAGAGGAAGUUGGGCUAGGAACUAGCACUUUAGGCGCUGUGUAAAGCCAUCGGAGGACACCUACGGAGGGACAACAAUCCUAUCAGGCCGUGGCCAGGCCCACUUAUCCACAGGGGUGAAUGUGCAGCCAAUCCGGUUUUUUGUCAACUAUCUGAAACUAUGCUUGGCCCCUAUUUCCUGUCUGAACCUCUGGGGUUUUCCAUGAUUUAACCCUGGUUAGUUGAUUCCAUGCUCUGCUGAUCUUCCUUAGUGCUCUCAUUUGGGGAAAUGGGAGUGGGCAGAACAGGAACAGUGGAAAUCUGCUCAGCGCGUGCUCCCCCUCAGGCUGGGGGUGGGGAGCAGGGCAGGGGGCGAUUUCUACAUCCCUGAAUGAAGUGUGCAGUUGGUGGCCUCCCCUGCAGCCCAGGGCAGGAAUUCGGCUCACAUCUUUGUUCUGCGCACUCUGAGCUCUGUCUGCCGUGGACACAUCCAGAAGCGAUUCAGCUGCAGACAGGUGCGGAUGCUACAAGAGGAAGACUCACAUUUGGCAGGAAAGCUGCCAGCUGUGGAGAAUGCGGAUCACUGCCUCGCUAGGGAAGAAUUCCCAAGCCCUCCAAGCUAUGAAGCCAGGAAGUGAAUGGGAAGCAGCUGGAGCGGGCCGGGCGGAAGGGACAAGCCAGAGAGAGCAGGAGAGCACCCGACGGUGGCCUGACCCCAGGGAGCCCAGCAGAGGCCAGCUGGGCCAGCUUCCCCAGAGAAAGCAGUGAAAGGGAGUGGCUGGUCCCAGGGGUAUCAGCGGGCAGGCUGGACCAAGUCACAUCAGAAGAGUGCCAGCGGGAGUCAUCAGUUGGCUUUUAAAGAAAACUAAACUGUAUAAAUAAAUAGAUGUUAAUCCCAGAUGCUGCUCACUCCUGAAAUACAUGAAAUGUAAGUGACGAAGUGAAAACCACUGAAUGAAUUCUUUCUUUCAGGACUUUCAAAGAAACCUUGCAAAAGCAGAUCUGGCUAAGAGCUUGGCCGCAGACGAACAAGUACAUCCCAGACACAAGGAGAGUUUUUUUCAUGGUCAUGUCUUGUCAUAGGGCUUUUUAACAAGUUGACUUAAGGCUGUGGUCCGUACGCAGCUGAGAAAGUCUGCUGAAAACAGCAAAUGCCCCAAGCCAGAAUUUGUGGGCAUUUUCUCUUCGUGUGACAUUAGAGAUAAAAUUAAAGAUAAAAGAAUUAUUAUAACUUUUAUUAAGUGUUGAGAGUUUGUUGAGCACCCGGCACUUUGCACACAGCAUGUUUAAUGUUUACAACAAACUAGUGUUGCUAUGCCUUUUUUACACACGAAGAAACUGUGGUUAACAUGUCUGAUGCCACAGGGUUAGUUAAGGGGUUGUUGGUCUGUAAUGCAGACCCAGACCUCCCUGACUGGGAAAUCAGGCUCUCUCUGCUGUCACACUAAGGCCUGUGUUAUCACAUCGACAGCAGCAUAAGACACUCAGAACUGAGGACUUGCUGUACAAGGAACCACGCACUUCCUUUCCAGCGCACCUGUCUACUCACUAGCAAUUUAUAAAAUACAUCUU